This is a long non-coding RNA of Aegilops tauschii subsp. strangulata, 531 nucleotides long. RefSeq lists it as uncharacterized. The record is from RefSeq and is a predicted model, not a curated record. NCBI's taxonomy places the organism in Eukaryota, Viridiplantae, Streptophyta, Magnoliopsida, Poales, Poaceae.
CAUGUCCUUCUUCCACCUCUGCUCGAUCUCCUUGUCUCGCACGACAGAGCCCGCCGCUGCCGAAUCAGGCUCCUCGUGAUCUACGCGAUUCGAACCCCUCUCUCCAAUACAUGGACACCGAGAGAUACCUCUCGCUCCCCUCGUACAAUUCCCGUGCAAAUCCCUCGAGGUAGAGCUCGAUUACGAGCAAACAGAGCACCCCAUAUUCGCUGCCCGAGCUCCCUUUUCCGGUCGGUGUCAUCAUCCUUUGAUUCGAGCCCCAACCAAACUGAUCUCGCCGGAGUUCCGCUCCUGAAGCUUCUGCUCGCCAUGACCGCUUGAGCAAGCGCACGCCUCCACCAAGCACUGCAAUGUUUCUGCCGCAUCAAGCCUAACCUUCCGGACCUCUUUGCUGCCCGGAGGAGCACAGGAGAAGUCACCAAGAUCGAUCCAGAAGCCGCCGCCAGCUUCCUAUAUUUCUGAUUGGUCGAAGCGUGCCGAGUAGAAUUAUAAGGAAUUGUGAGUGCGACGAACUUCAUCCAAUAUACCAGG